Molecule: non-coding RNA, 3086 nt
Organism: Doryrhamphus excisus (bluestripe pipefish)
Lineage: Eukaryota; Metazoa; Chordata; Actinopteri; Syngnathiformes; Syngnathidae
Source: RefSeq, a predicted model, not a curated record
UUGCUAUUAAAGAAACUAGUUUUAGCGUGAUUUGAAUUUUCAGUUCAAUAAAUAUAAAUAUAUAUAUAAAUAUAUAUCAUGGUGUAAUGUUAUUUAUGUUUCUUUCAAUAAAAUUCUGUCAAAAUGGGCAUAUUUCAGACAUAGUGGCAUAAUGAAUUAAUUUAAAAAACAUCUCAUGAUUAUUGAUUAUGUGACAAAAGUUUCUGCCUAUUUCGGCCUAACUCCUACAUCAGCGAGGCCUCAUGUCCGCCUUUCUGUGAUGCCAAAAUGUACCUCUGCGUUUUUAUUGUCAGUGGGGCAUUGUCGCUCUCUGCCACAUUGGAGCUUCUCCAUGUCUUCUACUCUACACCAUGUUAUCUUGAGGGGGGGAGGGGAGGGGGGGCAACAAAGCCACCACCGGUUACAUAAUUGAUGUCAGCCGUAUUCAAAUACAAUUUAUCACAUUGUCAAUCAUGCGGCGUGCCGUGCACCGAUAACGUUAUAAAUUAAUAAAGUCCCGCUGUCGUGGGAGUGCGUGAAUGAGCGUGUUUAGUCAUUCUGUUUGACAACACAAGGAAGAGGGCCGCUAUUCCGCUGGGUGGGAGUCAAAUUUCACACUUUCACAGAUAUUGUUCUCUUUCCUACCGAUGUUUAAAAGAUGGAAGUCUUGCUCUGGAAGGGAAACUGUACUGACAGAGGAAGGAACUUUUGUUUGGGCACAAGCCAGGAGAACAUUCUCUCAAGGAGGGAAAACACAGAAUGUGAGGGAACACAGAUGGAAUAAUUCUUGUCAUUAUUUCAUUGAGUGUAUCGGAAAAACUACUUGUGCUAAAAUAAUGUCCAUUUAAUAAAUUAAAUACAUUUCCUAGCUUUACAGAUGCCAUCUCUCAGUCCGGACUGCAUAUACUGUACCAACCUCCCAGCCAACAGGGGGUAGCAUAUUACCCCUGUUCUAUACCUAAAGUGAGCUGUGGCUGAAAACUACAUUUGGAUAUUUUUAUUUUGUUUAUAUACAAUGUCUGUCUAAUUAUUUACAAUUUAAUCACAGUAUUUAAAUUGAUUAAUAAUGAAUACCCACUAUUUGCAAUGACUGUAUGUCUGAAAUAUGCCCUUUUUACUGUAUUUAAUGAACAGAUAUACAUUACAAGACAGGGUGACAUAUAUUUAUAUAUUACAGCUCCAAAUUAACUUAAAAUUUUAAUCAGGCUAAAAGAUACCACACAAAACAAGCAUAAGACCUGUCUCUUUAAGAGGAGCAAAACAUUUGAAUCACACUUUAAACCGUGUUAUUACGGGCACUAGGGGUUGCAUUCAAAGACAUCACGUAAUUUAAGCUACAUUUACUUGUUAUUAGUGUAUUAACCAGCAUGCUGUACUUAAAUUUAACAAAUUGUACACCCGAAUUAAGAGUUGCGAAUAGUUAAGAGUUGAGAAUAUCUACUUCAUCUUUUUUCUUUAUCUUCGUACUUAUUUAAAUACACAGACGCCCCUUUUUGUGAAGUUUGGAGUGUCCCUGAAUGAAUCUCGCGCUCUUGCAAUGAGAAUGCGGAAGUGUCGUUCCCAGCAUGAAGGGUCGAGGGACCGUGCGUGAGUUGGAAAUACAUUCAGUACACGGUGUUAGAAAUGUACUGCAGUUGAUAUGUUCGGGUCAAAAUCAAGUUAUAAAAGAGUGUCAGACUGUGUGGGGACGCGCUUCAAAGCACAGUGGAGAACCACCAUAACAGAGGCGUGCUUGCUCUGGUGCGCAUGCGUUUAAAUUUUUGGUACAGGAGGAUCACAGGACCACCAAACAAUAGCGAAAAAACAAAACCUGAUGCGGCCCAGCCUCGCCCAGACCCUAGCUCCAGUGGCCCCCAGCUAAUGAAAUCAACGCCCUUCUGUCCCAGUCCCCCCCCACCACCCCCCCCACAGAAGGGCCUCCUGAUCGAUUGCCGCUCGUUAUCGACACGACACCUGCCGAGAGGCCUGAAAAUAUCCCAGCAAGACACCUUUGAAUGGAGGGAAUGAAAAAGGUUGGCCUUUGAUGGGGAAGACAUCUCCAGGGUCGUGUAUAUGCUGGAGCCUAACCCGGCUGACUUCGGGCGAGAGGCGGGGUACACACUGGACUGGCCGCCACACAGAUGCCGAUGAUCAAGAUCUCCUGACUGUGUGUUUUUGUGUACAGGCAUCAUACAACACCCCCUGGGGGGAGGAUGAAUGCAUGUAGAUCCAGGCCCCCGCCCUUUGAGUCACCACUACUCUGCUUCAAAAGAAUGAGUUUGACCUUUAACCCUUGGAGAAGACAGCUAAAUCAGUUGAAGAAAAGAGGGGAAAAAAAGCCAUACAAGCAAACUCUCACCUGGAUUAAGCAAAAAAAAAAAAAAAAAAAAUGAUCUCAUCUGACGCAACCCACCUGAGAUGUUUGCUCCCCUCUUGACGUCCUCCCGAGCUCCACGGCUGAUCCGAUCGGGAUGACGACGAUGAUGAUCACAACGCUCCGAGGAAGUUAGCGGCCUUCUCUCUCCAGAGGCCAGCUCUCUAAAAUAAAAAAAGGCAAGGUGCCUGCCCUGGAGCGAGAUAAUGUGAAGACAAGCAGAUGGGGGAACUUAAAGGCAAAGCCACUUGGGCAAAGCCGAGCUGGCACAAAGUAAGAGAAGGUCUUAGAACAUCUCCCAGCACACAUUCACUGCAUGCCAGCUAGCUGCAUGACAAAGAAUUUAACACUAUGUGUGUAUAUGUGUGUGUAUGUGUGUGUACCUGUGUACCCGUUUUGCAUAUUUUACCAAACAGUGUGUCCUCACUUCUUUAUACAGAAACGACAUUCAUCUGUUUCACAAAAAAAAAAAAAAAAAAAUCCAUUCCGCCCGGUUAGAUCCGAGCGGAACAAACUUUGAUGAUGAUUGACGACAGAAGGCCUGUCAUCAAUCAUCACAUCCGUGAAGACGAUUGACGCCGCAUUCAUGUUUUCAUAUUCACUAAUCAAUCAGGAUUAGCAGUGCUAGUUGUGACUGAAUAACGAGCAGGGAAAUGCUGACGAGGUAGAUAGCUUGGCGAUUUAAUUGACGAAUUAAACACCGCACCUCUAAUAAAUACCCCUUUCAUGUAUUCUAUUUCAUACACAUUAUGAU